CUUUUAGGAAAAAUUAAAAGUCGGGCCUGCCCACUGAAAUUUAAAGGGCCGCAGUAUUUUGACUGUGCUAAGGUAGCAUAAUCAUUUGUUUUUUAAUUGGAAACUGGAAUGAAUGGUUUGACGAAAUAAAAACUGUCUAUAAAUUUAAGUGUUGAAUUUUAUUUUUAAGUUAAAAAGCUUAAAUGUUAUUUGGGGACGAGAAGACCCUAUAGAUCUUUAUAUUAAUUUUAUUUAAGUAUUUUAAGAAAAAGAAAUUAGUAAGUGAAAUUAUUUAUUUUGUUGGGGUGAUAUGAGAAUAAAAAAACUUCUUAAUUAAUUUAACUAAAAUUGAAGAGUUAUGGAUCCUUUAUUAAGGAAUAAAGAUUAAGAUACCUUAGGGAUAACAGCGUAAUUUUAUUGGAAAGUUCUUAUUAAUAAUAAAGUUUGCGACCUCGAUGUUGGAUUAAGAGAAAGGGUUGGUGAAGAAGUUAACUUUUUAAGUCUGUUC
RNAcentral lists this ribosomal RNA (487 nucleotides) under Eunemobius carolinus. RNAcentral's name for it is "partial 16S ribosomal RNA". It matches the Rfam family "Bacterial large subunit ribosomal RNA", at positions 1831 to 2582 of the family's 2925-position model. The record is from RNAcentral. Lineage: Eukaryota; Metazoa; Arthropoda; Insecta; Orthoptera; Trigonidiidae.